GGGAGGAUCUCACUGUUAAACCAAUUACUUUAGAGUUGGUAGUUCUUGAGUAAGAGGCUGGUGCAUGGAUGCAUGGAGAGUGACGUUUGGGGCAGGACUAACUUGGCAAGGCUACAGGAUGGACAAGAAUCGAGAAAGACUGGGAAGUUGGAAAACUGCUUGUAUCUUGUGAGGUCUAUGUGAGGGAGCAUCUGGAUUUAAGAUGCCAACAGAAGAAAGAAGCAUCUCAUGGGGAAAUGCUGAGAAGGAGCAUAUAAGGAUGUCAGAGGGGACCAGAACAUGGCAGAGUCCGGGAAGUAGAGGGAAUGGGAGAUUCCAAUAGUGUCCAGUGCUUCAGAGGAGACCCAUGAAAUAGGAUCCACUUCUUUAUUAUAUUUUUGGAGAACAAGAAUCUUUGUCUGGAAAUUCCACAAGUAUGCCUUCUGCAAGAUUAAAAGUGCCACAAAGAACAAAAAUGAGCCCAGAACCAGAUGCGUGCUAGAAGACAUCAGACAUGUUAAGUUUCAUCUCCAUUGACCUGCAGAAGGAGUCUGUCUCCACAGCCACCACAUCUAUGCAUAUGCUGAGUCACAUGUGAAGCCAACACAUCCCAGAGUCUCACCAAGGGCUCAUGGGCCCGAAGUUGUAUUGCAGUAUGCACACGUCCUUUGAUGCCUGGCACAGAGAAAUGUGAGUAGCAGAGAAAAAACAAGAUUUGAUGUUUUUGGAACCAAAAGUUAAUAUGGGGGAAAGUCUUCCAAUCAGCCGACAUGAACAAUGAGCCAGUUGGAGCAUGAAGCUUCAGAAUCGCCUUCCAACUCUCUGUGCACUGCACCAGCUGCUUCCCAUAGACUCCUGGUAAAAUAUAAUUGUCAAUUACUACUUCCUCAUUCUUUGCUUUGUGGCUUACAAGAGAGCGGAAGGAAGAAGAGCCACCACCCAUAACAUCAAUGGCUGCUAACUGAGGAGUGUUUUAACAUGCUGCUACAGCCUAUCCUCAGCUUUCCAGAAGGUGGAAUCUUGUGACAGUGGAAAGACAGUAGAAGAGAGGAAGGUAUGCCAGUAACCAGCGAUGCCCAGCUGGCUCUACUAGGAUUACGUACAGCCUGUAUUUGUUCUGAUUGUACCUAUGACUCCAGGAUUUGCCAGCAAAAGAAGUCAACAAUAUUUUAACUUUAAUCUUAGCCAAAAGGCCAAGAAGUGAUGCUAGUAUUUUCAUAUACUACUACAGUUGCAGACACACGUCUAACAUAGCUGGGUAGUAAUCCAGGCAACUCUGCCGCAAGUCAUGGGCUCAGCCACCAGUCCACGGAGUCUCCAGUCACAUGGAUUGCUUUGGACUAGUCUCUAUCCCCAGUUGUCGAUUAACUAAAACGUGAAACGAGCUAUGCCUUGGGGACCUCACAGUAACUUCCCAGUGCAGAGCACUUGACUGCACGGAACCUGGAUUGACUCAAACCUGUGAAUUUCCCUUCCUGAAACAUAGGAUGCCAUGGAGUCCCCCAACUGGCUUCAUAAAUUUGGUGUCACAUUGUAAAUCAAGCAGCUGCAGAGUGGCUGGGACAUCUGCUUGGCUCUGUUAUUCUCUUAACUCCAAAAGGAAACGAACUCAAAAAGCUCCUUCCAGUUGGCUGAGCUUUAAAGGAUGGUUGGAGAUCCAGCAGCCAUCUUGGACCAUGAGGUGAAUCACGAUGAAGCAAAAUGACAGAAAGAGCCAAGAUCCUUGUCCUGUGGAAAGCAAUACAGAAUAAAACCUGAUGUCUGAGCUGAAUCCCAGUCGUAAAGAAACUUUUCCACCAUUCCUGUCUGUGUUUUUCUAAGUGUGCUCUUGAAGUUCCACAUUUCCCAGGGUAAGUGGUAGGGUCUUCCAAGGAGUUAGAAAGGAAUGGGUAGGCAGGUGGCCAUGCCUCUUUUAUCUCUUCUAUAUUUUGGGGUUUCUCAUAAGGAUACUUUCAAAGAAAGGGACACACACACACAGAGGUGUUAGAAUCAGACAAUCCGGUCUAAAUUCCAGCUCUGCCAGUGACACUCUAAGUAUGUGACUUUGGGUAAGUUACUAGAUCUCUAUAGGAC
This is a non-coding RNA of Macaca mulatta (Rhesus monkey), 2052 nucleotides long. Lineage: Eukaryota; Metazoa; Chordata; Mammalia; Primates; Cercopithecidae. The record is from RefSeq and is a predicted model, not a curated record.